RNAcentral lists this long non-coding RNA (299 nucleotides) under Cavia porcellus (domestic guinea pig). Its description in RNAcentral is "lncRNA (ENSCPOG00000030687.1)". The record is from RNAcentral. Lineage: Eukaryota; Metazoa; Chordata; Mammalia; Rodentia; Caviidae.
GCAACAAAAGGAUGUAUUCAAAAUAUAUGAUAAUCAAGAAUUUGGAGCCCAACCACCAGAAGCUCUGAAAGGUUUGCCAUCACUGGUCUAGGAGAAUCACAUUAUUGAAGUCUAUCUCAUUUGCCUUCAAGACUGAGGACAUCAAGAUAAGAGCGAAGUGGUUCACAGCAUUUACAGGAGCAUCUGACUACCAGCAUCUACAAUGUCCAGUUCCAGAACUCCUCCCUGGAUGGAUGGUUAGAAGUUUCCAGUCUGUGAGUGCUUGCAUUCUAGGAAAUCAGGGCUUCCCACAACUCAGA